Molecule: unclassified non-coding RNA, 449 nt
Filed under: Hevea brasiliensis (rubber tree)
Lineage: Eukaryota; Viridiplantae; Streptophyta; Magnoliopsida; Malpighiales; Euphorbiaceae
Source: RNAcentral
GAUAACAGAAAUGCCGAAAAGAAGUUGCGUAAGAGUUCAACAAUCAUUGGAGUUAAUAUUAUUGAAGAAUCUCCUACCAAAGACAAAAAGAGAAAGAAGUCCAACGGGCAGAAGUCAGAACAGGCCAAGAAGAAAUCCAAAGGCAACUGUUAUAAUUGUGGCAAGGCUGGUCAUAGAUCUUCUGAUUGUCAUGCUCCAAGAAAGGACAAAAACAAAGGCAAAGGCAAAAGUCAAGCAAACAUCGUGGAAAAGAUGGAAGAUGCAGAUGACUUGUGUGCAAUGAUAUUAGAGUGUAACUUAGUUGGAAAUCCCAAGGAGUGGUUUCUCGACUCAGGAGCUACUAGACAUAUUUUCUCUGCAAAAAAAGCCUUUGCAACGUACACUCCUGCUGAGUACGAUUUAUUCAUGGGAAACACAGCAACAGCAAGGAUUGCAGGAACUGGGAAAGU